Long non-coding RNA from Hevea brasiliensis (rubber tree), 575 nucleotides. RefSeq lists it as uncharacterized. NCBI's taxonomy places the organism in Eukaryota, Viridiplantae, Streptophyta, Magnoliopsida, Malpighiales, Euphorbiaceae. The record is from RefSeq and is a predicted model, not a curated record. The transcript is spliced from 4 exons.
UUUAUAUUUUCGGAAGAAUCCAUUUGGUGGUGAGUAUACAGUCUUUGCUGGAUUAGAAGAAUGCAUAAGGUUCAUUGCUAAUUUCAAAUUCACCGAGGUGAGAUCUCUUUCAUCCGUGAAACUUUGCCUGGUUCUUGUGAGGAUGGCUUCUGUGAUUAUCUUAGAGGACUUGACUGCUCUGAAGUUGAAUUGUAUGCUGUUCCAGAGGGGUCAGUUGUCUUCCCAAAGGUUCCCCUGCCACGAAUUGAAGGGCCAAUUGCUGUGGUUCAAUUGCUGGAAACUCCGUUACUGAAUCUUGUUAAUUAUGCAUCACUGGUGGCAACAAAUGCAGCAAGGCAUCGAUUUGUUGCUGGAAAAUAAAAAAUGCUGCUAGAAUUUGGGCUUCGACGGGCUCAGGGACCCUAUGGUGGAAUAGGAGCAUCAAAGUACUGCUACAUUGGAGGAUUUGAUGCAACAAGGUAAUUUCUGGUGAAAUUAUCUUGCAUCAUGCAUUCAUCUUUACUUCCAUAAGAUAGAUUCUCUUAGCAUUAUUUUGCCUUUCUAAUAUUCCUUCUAAUUCAUAUGAUGAUGAUCAA